CCCUUAGAUGUUCUGGGCCGCACGCGUGCUACACUGAGUGGAUCAGCGGGUCAGGUUGCGCGAAAGCGUUUCCUAAUCUUUAAAUCCGCUCGUGAUGGGGAUUGACGGUUGCAAUUUUCUGUCAUGAACGAGGAAUACCUUGUAAGCGCGGGUCAUCAUCCCGCGCUGAAUACGUCCCUGCCCUUUGUACACACCGCCCGUCGCUCCUACCGAUUGGGUGUGCUGGUGAAAUGUUCGGAUCGGCCGUUUGUCGCGGUUUCCGCGUCAUGUGGCUGAGAAGUUCAGUAAACCCUCCCACCUAGAGGAAGGAGAAGUCGUAACA
This 322-nucleotide ribosomal RNA is filed under the name uncultured eukaryote. RNAcentral describes it as "partial 18S ribosomal RNA". It matches the Rfam family "Eukaryotic small subunit ribosomal RNA", at positions 1470 to 1796 of the family's 1831-position model. The record is from RNAcentral.